RNAcentral lists this ribosomal RNA (296 nucleotides) under uncultured Pseudomonas sp. Its description in RNAcentral is "partial 16S ribosomal RNA". It matches the Rfam family "Bacterial small subunit ribosomal RNA", at positions 1089 to 1382 of the family's 1533-position model. The record is from RNAcentral. Lineage: Bacteria; Pseudomonadati; Pseudomonadota; Gammaproteobacteria; Pseudomonadales; Pseudomonadaceae.
GUAACGAGCGCAACCCUUGUCCUUAGUUACCAGCACGUUAUGGUGGGCACUCUAAGGAGACUGCCGGUGGACAAACCGGAGGAAGGUGGGGAUGACGUCAAGUCAUCAUGGCCCUUACGGCCUGGGCUACACACGUGCUACAAUGGUCGGUACAAAGGGUUGCCAAGCCGCGAGGUGGAGCUAAUCCCAUAAAACCGAUCGUAGUCCGGAUCGCAGUCUGCAACUCGACUGCGUGAAGUCGGAAUCGCUAGUAAUCGUGAAAUCAGAAUGUCACGGUGAAUACGUUCCCGGGCCUU